RNAcentral lists this ribosomal RNA (436 nucleotides) under uncultured Oscillibacter sp. RNAcentral describes it as "bacterial SSU rRNA". It matches the Rfam family "Bacterial small subunit ribosomal RNA", at positions 341 to 792 of the family's 1533-position model. Lineage: Bacteria; Bacillati; Bacillota; Clostridia; Eubacteriales; Oscillospiraceae. The record is from RNAcentral.
ACGGGAGGCAGCAGUGGGGAAUAUUGGGCAAUGGGCGCAAGCCUGACCCAGCAACGCCGCGUGAAGGAAGAAGGCUUUCGGGUUGUAAACUUCUUUGACAGGGGAAGAGCAGAAGACGGUACCCUGAAAACAAGCCACGGCUAACUACGUGCCAGCAGCCGCGGUAAUACGUAGGUGGCAAGCGUUGUCCGGAUUUACUGGGUGUAAAGGGCGUGUAGCCGGGAGAGCAAGUCAGAUGUGAAAUCCAUGGGCUCAACUCAUGAACUGCAUUUGAAACUGUUCUUCUUGAGUGCUGGAGGGGCAAUCGGAAUUCCUAGUGUAGCGGUGAAAUGCGUAGAUAUUAGGAGGAACACCAGUGGCGAAGGCGGAUUGCUGGACAGUAACUGACGGUGAGGCGCGAAAGUGUGGGGAGCAAACAGGAUUAGAUACCCUGGUA